RNAcentral lists this ribosomal RNA (1376 nucleotides) under Salmonella enterica subsp. enterica serovar Muenchen. RNAcentral's name for it is "partial 23S ribosomal RNA". It matches the Rfam family "Bacterial large subunit ribosomal RNA", at positions 402 to 1773 of the family's 2925-position model. The record is from RNAcentral. RNAcentral also lists the same sequence under 1 other name. Lineage: Bacteria; Pseudomonadati; Pseudomonadota; Gammaproteobacteria; Enterobacterales; Enterobacteriaceae.
AGCUCGAUGAGUAGGGCGGGACACGUGGUAUCCUGUCUGAAUAUGGGGGGACCAUCCUCCAAGGCUAAAUACUCCUGACUGACCGAUAGUGAACCAGUACCGUGAGGGAAAGGCGAAAAGAACCCCGGCGAGGGGAGUGAAAAAGAACCUGAAACCGUGUACGUACAAGCAGUGGGAGCACCCUUUGGGGUGUGACUGCGUACCUUUUGUAUAAUGGGUCAGCGACUUAUAUUCUGUAGCAAGGUUAACCGAAUAGGGGAGCCGGAGGGAAACCGAGUCUUAAUUGGGCGUUAAGUUGCAGGGUAUAGACCCGAAACCCGGUGAUCUAGCCAUGGGCAGGUUGAAGGUUGGGUAACACUAACUGGAGGACCGAACCGACUAAUGUUGAAAAAUUAGCGGAUGACCUGUGGCUGGGGGUGAAAGGCCAAUCAAACCGGGAGAUAGCUGGUUCUCCCCGAAAGCUAUUUAGGUAGCGCCUCGUGAAUUCAUCUCCGGGGGUAGAGCACUGUUUCGGCUAGGGGGUCAUCCCGACUUACCAACCCGAUGCAAACUGCGAAUACCGGAGAAUGUUAUCACGGGAGACACACGGCGGGUGCUAACGUCCGUCGUGAAGAGGGAAACAACCCAGACCGCCAGCUAAGGUCCCAAAGUCAUGGUUAAGUGGGAAACGAUGUGGGAAGGCCCAGACAGCCAGGAUGUUGGCUUAGAAGCAGCCAUCAUUUAAAGAAAGCGUAAUAGCUCACUGGUCGAGUCGGCCUGCGCGGAAGAUGUAACGGGGCUAAACCAUGCACCGAAGCUGCGGCAGCGACACUCAGGUGUUGUUGGGUAGGGGAGCGUUCUGUAAGCCUGUGAAGGUGGCCUGUGAGGGUUGCUGGAGGUAUCAGAAGUGCGAAUGCUGACAUAAGUAACGAUAAAGCGGGUGAAAAGCCCGCUCGCCGGAAGACCAAGGGUUCCUGUCCAACGUUAAUCGGGGCAGGGUGAGUCGACCCCUAAGGCGAGGCCGAAAGGCGUAGUCGAUGGGAAACGGGUUAAUAUUCCCGUACUUGGUGUUACUGCGAAGGGGGGACGGAGAAGGCUAUGUUGGCCGGGCGACGGUUGUCCCGGUUUAAGCGUGUAGGUGUGUGUUCCAGGUAAAUCCGGUUCACUUUAACACUGAGGCGUGAUGACGAGGCACUACGGUGCUGAAGCAACAAAUGCCCUGCUUCCAGGAAAAGCCUCUAAGCAUCAGGUAACAUCAAAUCGUACCCCAAACCGACACAGGUGGUCAGGUAGAGAAUACCAAGGCGCUUGAGAGAACUCGGGUGAAGGAACUAGGCAAAAUGGUGCCGUAACUUCGGGAGAAGGCACGCUGACACGUAGGUGAAGUGAUUUACUCA